Molecule: ribosomal RNA, 103 nt
Filed under: Staphylococcus capitis
Lineage: Bacteria; Bacillati; Bacillota; Bacilli; Caryophanales; Staphylococcaceae
Description: partial 16S ribosomal RNA
Rfam family: Bacterial small subunit ribosomal RNA
Source: RNAcentral
AGCCGUAACCUUUUGGAGCUAGCCGUCGAAGGUGGGACAAAUGAUUGGGGUGAAGUCGUAACAAGGUAGCCGUAUCGGAAGGUGCGGCUGGAUCACCUCCUUU